RNAcentral lists this ribosomal RNA (665 nucleotides) under uncultured cyanobacterium. RNAcentral's name for it is "bacterial SSU rRNA". It matches the Rfam family "Bacterial small subunit ribosomal RNA", at positions 99 to 795 of the family's 1533-position model. Lineage: Bacteria; Bacillati; Cyanobacteriota. The record is from RNAcentral.
CGGACGGGUGAGUAACGCGUGAGAAUCUACCAAAAGGACUGGGACAACCACUGGAAACGGUGGCUAAUACCGGAUGAGCCGAAAAGUAAAAAGGGAAACCUGCCUUUUGAAGAGCUCGCGUCUGAUUAGCUAGUUGGUGAGGUAAGAGCUCACCAAGGCAGCGAUCAGUAGCUGGUCUGAGAGGAUGACCAGCCACACUGGGACUGAGACACGGCCCAGACUCCUACGGGAGGCAGCAGUGGGGAAUUUUCCGCAAUGGGCGAAAGCCUGACGGAGCAAUACCGCGUGAGGGAAGAAGGCUCUUGGGUCGUAAACCUCUUUUAUCAGGGAAGAAAAAAAUGACGGUACCUGAAGGAUCAGCCUCGGCUAACUCCGUGCCAGCAGCCGCGGUAAUACGGAGGAGGCAAGCGUUAUCCGGAAUUAUUGGGCGUAAAGCGUCCGCAGGUGGCUUAUCAAGUCUGCUGUCAAAGAGUGGGGCUUAACCCCAUCAAGGCAGUGGAAACUGGGAAGCUAGAGUGCCGUAGGGGUAGAGGGAAUUCCCGGUGCAGCGGUGAAAUGCGUAGAGAUCGGGAAGAACAUCGGUGGCGAAAGCGCUCUACUGGACGGCAACUGACACUCAGGGACGAGAGCUAGGGGAGCGAAUGGGAUUAGAUACCCCAGUAGUC